Molecule: ribosomal RNA, 332 nt
Filed under: uncultured soil bacterium
Lineage: Bacteria
Description: bacterial SSU rRNA
Rfam family: Bacterial small subunit ribosomal RNA
Source: RNAcentral
AGAACGAACGCUGGCGGCAUGCCUAAUACAUGCAAGUCGAACGAACUCUUCGGAGUUAGUGGCGCACGGGUGCGUAACGCGUGGGAAUCUGCCCUUGGGUUCGGAAUAACAGUUGGAAACGACUGCUAAUACCGGAUGAUGACGAAAGUCCAAAGAUUUAUCGCCCAGGGAUGAGCCCGCGUAGGAUUAGCUAGUUGGUGAGGUAAAGGCUCACCAAGGCGACGAUCCUUAGCUGGUCUGAGAGGAUGAUCAGCCACACUGGGACUGAGACACGGCCCAGACUCCUACGGGAGCAGCAGUAGGGAAUAUUGGACAAGUGGGACGAAAGCCUG